UCAGCGACGGAUAUUUCCUCCAACAAUCGGGGCCAACUCAUCACCACACCAGAGGCCACAGCCGGACACUAACAAAGCCCAUCACAGAACAACACAGAGGGACCAUUUCGGACAAUUUACGGUUUCACCCAACCAGUGAUUUUCUUACGUGGUUCACGUUUUCUGGUGAUAGAUGUAGUGAAUUGCACGAUUUUGUACCUAAUUUCCAUCGCAAAUGUCUACUUUUCGAGUUAUGCCUCUUUUCAAGUGAUGACCUGCCCUCAUGUCAUUCCUCCUCGUGCCAGCUUCACCAAUCCAUCCAUGUAAUUUGCUCUUGGUCUUCCUUUUCCUCUUCUUCCUUCCACCAUUCCAGUCGUAAUCAAAGUCACCAGUCCUUCUCUCCCUAUGGUAAAAUUCUAGUGUUUGCCCAUACUCCCCCCUCCCCCCCAUACAAGCCUGGGGACCUGGUGGGAAUGCGGGGUUUCGGGUGGGGGACACGAAAUCCGUCGCAUUCGCGUAUUUUUUAGUGGGGGCGGGGAUAAAAACUCCCUAGAUCUAGGGAAAUUCCCUAAAUUUAGGGAAUUUUUCCUCCCACCACCACUAAAAUAAGUGUUUGCGACGAAUUUAGUGUUUCCCAUGCAAAAACCACGCACUCAGUGGAUCCUCAAGCUUGUUUUGGGAGAGAAGCGUAGUGAACCCACCAAACGAUGCUCACCUCACCAUCUGGCGUGGCACUGGCGGCCAUCUGUGCUCACAUAAACCGCUUCCACCACACUCAUGCUCUCUCUCUAGUAGGAUGUCACCUCAUCGCAAGGUUUCUGUCCUCCAAGUAGAGUCCGUGGCACCAAACACAGUGUAUCUUCAUUGUUUAUCACUGACACAAGUAAAACCACCGGCUAGCCGGGAUCCAUCCAACACCGCGCCUUUAACACUACUGCGGCUUGUGCAGGAAGUGCAGGCUCUCGAACCUCUUGCCCGAGCUCUUCGAACACGUGAAUCCUUAAUGAUCGGAUUUUGAAUCUGCUUCACGGGCUCGUAUUCCCAGUAUACAAGGUGAUUGUGGAUAUUGACUCCGCGCCUCCAGAAUACGAUAAUACGCCUCCAUAUAUCAUAGUAAAAAAAAAACAAAGUACUUGAAGUAAAGAAGCCGAAUUAAUCCCCUUCCCCCAACGAUCUUGAGGGACCUGCGUGAACUCGGGGUAUUUGGGUGGGGGAGCAUAUUUAAACUACUCCAACCGAACUUUACGACCUGCUAACCAAGGGGGGGCUGUGCCCCCCUCUGGACCCCCCCUCUUAAAGGUGCGUGUUCUAAAAAAAAAAUAACCACGCGUGGUGGACCUGGUCUCACAUGCAUGGGCUAAUGACUAACUAAGCGUACCAUCGCUAACCAAGUGUACCAUCAGAAAUAGUAUUAGGUAUAGGUGCGUGUUUCCCCCAAAAAUAAAUAACCACGCGUGGUGGACCUUGUCUCACCUAGCGUAUCAUUGCUAACCGGAUCGUUGGCAACGCUGCUCAUAUUACAAUGGCGUUGCCAUGUAAACACAUCGUCCGUAUGUAUAAUAUGCCCUCAAGUACAAUAUGGAAGCGUAAUAUAGUAUUUUCGAGGUGCGGAGUGAUUUUCAAUAAUUACCUGGCAUGGUUUCCGUACGUUGUAAAAAAAAAAAACGGAAUGUAUGAAAUUUCCCUACAUCUAAGUAAUUGUAAGGAAUUUCCUUACAUCUAGGGUAUUUUUCAACCCCUCAUAACUCAAAAACUAUACAUUUGCGACGCAUUUCAUGUUUACCACCGCAUCCCCUGAAGUCUCAAUGGCCCCCUAGCCAAUUUUGGUUGCGAGGGGUGAGUGUGGGCAAACACUAGAAUAAUACCGAUAUGGGGCCGAAAAAUUUCAGUUGUCUCCCUCUCACCGUUCUCAUCAACUCUCUCUUCUCUUUCACCAUCUCCAGAAUGUGUCAACGUUUACAGAUAAAUGUGACCACCAUGAGACUAGGAGACAGAGAAGAGGCACCUUUGACGAGCACUGACUCUAAACUAUCACUAAAGGACAGUCCAGCGGUGAAGCCGAGUGCGUCCCGAUGCAGCGUGGUGGCAGCCUCCUGCUGUGCGCCGGGCUGUAAGAGCAGGAACACUGUGGACUGCAAGCUCACCCUCCACAUGUGUCAGGUUCCUGCACAGGUGAACGGAGGUGGAGUCACGGCUUUGGGGCGGCUUGCUAAAAAGCUACAGUCACACUGACUUCACGACCUGCUAACGACCACCUGCGACCUCAAAAUGCUGCGAUUCACACCCACCGCUCCCCGACCACAUAGGUGGCAAAGUAGUUGUGCGACUGAACGGCUACCGGUGGUCGUUUAGUGUCCGUCCAGUGGGCGGCCGGACGGCAAGAUUCACACCUUGGCCUCACACCUGGAGUCAGGCCAAGACGCCCACCAUACGCUGACCGGUGGCCGACAGGCAAGGACCAGUACACGUCCUGUCGCAAUGAGGACGGCGACCUCCCUUAACGAGCUGCAGCUGACGUGUUACAGUACAUAAUAUCUUCACCCAGUUAUAUUACACAUUUCCCAUUCUUAUUUCUGUAAAUUAUUUGUAAAAAACAGUUACUUAUAAAGGUAAUGAAAGUAUCCUGUACUUCACUGCAGCAAAAGACGGAUAUUUGUGACCCCCCCGCCGCCCCCUAUGUGCCGCAGACAUGCAAAAAAUGCUCCAAGCACUCUUGGUUUAACCUGUUGUUAGUAUGUAUGUAACAUUACAUUCGUUCUAAAGCAUUUCCAUCACCCUGGGCAGAGCAGAAGAUGAAAUUAACAGUUCUUUUUGAAGUGAAUAACAGCCAAUAGCUUUGCAGACUCUCAUUGUUACUGGUGUGCACGUCAUGUCCUGCAGUGAUUUAUUUUGGUUAGGCAGAGGUGACCCAUACACACUUGGCCGUGUGUUUGACCUGUGGAGCAGGUUGAGUGGGGACGGAGCUUGGACGGGCUGAGGGGCGUGGGACGUCACUGCUCAGGAAUGUACCUCAUUUCCGGGCAAGGGUGGUUUGACCUACCACCAGUCGCCGCACAACUCGCCGUGUGGUGGAAGGCCGGACGUCAACCACGGCCAGUGACAGAUGAAAAGUGUACGGCGACCAUCAGUGAUCUCCUUCUCUCUGACGGCAACCAGACGGCGUCCGCUCGCCAUCCAGUCGCCGUUCAGCAGUUAAUGGUCAACUGUUGGCCACCAGUGGCAGUCUGCUAGCCGUCCAGACGCAGUCCAUUCGGCCACCGGAUGGCAACCUUUUUUACGACCGGCAGCGACCUGAGAGGUCGGCUGGAGGUUUUAGAGCAUGACCUAAAACCUCCAUUGGUCAGGAGUGUUUCCCAUGUGGUAUUGGUAUGCUAGAUAUCCCUUCACUGGUAGCCUGGUAACAUAUAGUCCCAGGUCUUUCUCUGCCUCUGUGGUGGAUAGUGGAGUGUUUCCCAUGUGGUAUUGGUGUGCUGGAUAUCCCUUCACUGGUAGCCUGGUAACAUACACUCCCAGGUCUUUCUCUGCCUCUGUGGUGGAUAGUGGAGUGUUUCCCACGUGGUAUUGGUGUGCUGGAUAUCCCUUCAUUGGUAGCCUGGUAACAUACACUUCCAGGUCUUUCUCUGCCUCUGUGGUGGAUAGUGGAGUGUUUCCCAUGUGGUAUUGGUGUGCUGGAUAUCCCUUCACUAGUAGCCUGGUAACAUACACUCCCAGGUCUUUCUCUGCCUCUGUGGUGGAUAGUGGAGUGUUUCCCAUGUGGUAUUGGUGUGCUGGAUAUCCCUUCACUGGUAGCCUGGUAACAUAUGGUCCCAGGUCUUUCUCUGCCUCUGUGGUGGAUAGUGGAGUGUUUCCCAUGUGGUAUUGGUGUGCUGGAUAUCCCUUCACUGGUAGCCUGGUAACAUACACUCCCAGGUCUUUCUCUGCCUCUGUGGUGGAUAGUGGAGUGUUUCCCAUGUGGUAUUGGUGUGCUGGAUAUCCCUUCACUGGUAGCCUGGUAACAUACACUCCCAGGUCUUUCUCUGCCUCUGUGGUGGAUAGUGGAGUGUUUCCCAUGUGGUAUUGGUGUGCUGGAUAUCCCUUCACUGGUAGCCUGGUAACAUACACUCCCAGGUCUUUCUCUGCCUCUGUGGUGGAUAGUGGAGUGUUUCCCAUGUGGUAUUGGUGUGCUGGAUAUCCCUUCACUGGUAGCCUGGUAACAUAUACUCCCAGGUCUUUCUCUGCCUCUGUGGUGGAUAGUGGAGUGUUUCCCAUGUGGUAUUGGUGUGCUGGAUAUCCCUUCACUGGUAGCCUGGUAACAUACACUCCCAGGUCUUUCUCUGCCUCUGUGGUGGAUAGUGGAGUGUUUCCCAUGUGGUAUUGGUGUGCUGGAUAUCCCUUCACUGGUAGCCUGGUAACAUACACUCCCAGGUCUUUCUCUGCCUCUGUGGUGGAUAGUGGAGUGUUUCCCAUGUGGUAUUGGUGUGCUGGAUAUCCCUUCACUGGUAGCCUGGUAACAUAAUAGUCCCAGGUCUUUCUCUGCCUCUGUGGUGGAUGAAGUGUUUCCCAUGUGGCAUUGGUGUGCUGGAUAUCCCUUCACUGGUAGCCUGGUAACAUACACUCCCAGGUCUUUCUCUGCCUCUGUGGUGGAUAGUGGAGUGUUUCCCAUGUGGUAUUGGUGUGCUGGAUAUCCCUUCACUGGUAGCCUGGUAACAUAAUGGUCGCAGGUCUUACUCUGUGGUGGAUAGUGGAGUGUUUCCCAUGUGGUAUUGGUGUGCUGGAUAUCCCUUCACUGGUAGCCUGGUAACAUAAUGGUCGCAGGUCUUACUCUGUGGUGGAUAGUGGAGUGUUUCCCAUGUGGUAUUGGUGUGCAGGACUUUACAUUUUUCUUCAUUGAAUUGUAGCAGACACUUUUGUUCCAUUCCUGUAGCUUGGUGAGGUAUUCUGUUAGGAAAUCCAUAGUCUAGGGGUCACACUGCCCUAACCUAACGUAACCUCCUUUAUGGGAGACUUUGAACACAGCGACCCCUCGUUUUCACACUUAAUCUCAGCAUGACAAAUUAAAUCAAACUAAUUUAAACUAACGUAUCCUUAUGUAACCUGCCUAAUGUUUACUUAUUUAUUUAUUUUUUUGCUGCUUCAACUCACCCUGUUUUCACAUUUCAUCUCAGGCCUGUA
RNA transcript from Eriocheir sinensis (Chinese mitten crab), 5130 nucleotides. RefSeq lists it as uncharacterized. The transcript has 7 exons. NCBI's taxonomy places the organism in Eukaryota, Metazoa, Arthropoda, Malacostraca, Decapoda, Varunidae. The record is from RefSeq and is a predicted model, not a curated record.